RNAcentral lists this ribosomal RNA (119 nucleotides) under Pteropus alecto (black flying fox). Lineage: Eukaryota; Metazoa; Chordata; Mammalia; Chiroptera; Pteropodidae. The record is from RNAcentral.
GUCUAUGGCCAUGCCACCCAGAACACACCCACUCCCAUCUGAUCUUGGAAGCUAAGGAGGGUCGGGCCUGGUUAGUACUUGGAUGGGAGACCACCUACGAAGACCAGGUACUGUAGGUG